AGUGAACGCUGGCGGUAGGCCUAACACAUGCAAGUCGAACGGCAGCACAGUAAGAGCUUGCUCUUACGGGUGGCGAGUGGCGGACGGGUGAGGAAUACAUCGGAAUCUACUUUUUCGUGGGGGGUAACGUAGGGAAACUUACGCUAAUACCGCAUACGACCUACGGGUGAAAGCAGGGGAUCUUCGGACCUUGCGCGAUUGAAUGAGCCGAUGUCGGAUUAGCUAGUUGGCGGGGUAAAGGCCCACCCAGGCGACGAUCCGUAGCUGGUCUGAGAGGAUGAUCAGCCACACUGGAACUGAGACACGGUCCAGACUCCUACGGGAGGCAGCAGUGGGGAAUAUUGGACAAUGGGCGCAAGCCUGAUCCAGCCAUACCGCGUGGGUGAAGAAGGCCUUCGGGUUGUAAAGCCCUUUUGUUGGGAAAGAAAAGCAGCAGGUUAAUACCCCGCUGUUCUGACGGUACCAAAAGAAUAAGCACCGGCUAGCUUCGUG
This 492-nucleotide ribosomal RNA is filed under the name uncultured bacterium. Its description in RNAcentral is "partial 16S ribosomal RNA". It matches the Rfam family "Bacterial small subunit ribosomal RNA", at positions 29 to 507 of the family's 1533-position model. The record is from RNAcentral.